GGGAUGGGGGGGUAGCCGCGCGGCAGUUUGAACGGCGAAAAAUGGGCAAGAUCGGGGGCCGCUUAGUAGGCUUUGCCGGUUUCGGCCGUAACUCAUAAUCCGGGCCUCCGAUUCCGUUUCCAUUUGGUCCCACGGGACCAGCGGUCCGGGGGCAUCGGGACGGGGGGGUAGCCGUGCGGCGGUUUGAUCGCCGAAAAAUGGGUAAGAUCAGGGCCGUUUGGCCCGUUUUGCCGGUUUCGGCCCCCCGGGGGGCGGUUCAUGCCCCGGGGGGGACAGCGGGGCGGGAUCGGCACACGGCGGGGGAGGUGGUCGGGUUCCGGCGGGUGCGGUCGGCGGCGGGGGCGCCCGGGGGGCUAUAGCGCACGGCCUCGGGGGCCGCAAAGAAGGGGCCGUAACUCAUGAUCGGGGCCCCCGAUUCCGUUUCCGUUUCGUACCACGGGACCAGCGGUCCGGGGGCAUCGGGAUGGGGGGG
This 472-nucleotide long non-coding RNA is filed under the name Citrus x clementina. RNAcentral's name for it is "Citrus clementina (C. clementina) long non-coding RNA (CCLE_LNC004761)". Lineage: Eukaryota; Viridiplantae; Streptophyta; Magnoliopsida; Sapindales; Rutaceae. The record is from RNAcentral.